CCUACGGGCGGCUGCAGUGAGGAAUCUUGCGCAAUGGGCGAAAGCCUGACGCAGCGACGCCGCGUGACUGAUGAAGUCUUUCGGGAUGUAAAGGUCUUUUGCAGGGGACGAAGGAAGUGACGGUACCCUGCGAAUAAGCCCCGGCUAACUACGUGCCAGCAGCCGCGGUAAUACGUAGGGGGCGAGCGUUGUCCGAAUUCACUGGGCGUAAAGCGCGCGUAGGCGGGUUUUUAAGUUGUGGGUGAAAUUCCGAGGCUCAACCUCGUAACUGCCUGCAAAACUGGGAGCCUUGAGGUAUGGAGAGGGAAGUGGAAUUCCUGGUGUAGCGGUGAAAUGCGUAGAUAUCAGGAGGAACACCCGUGGCGAAGGCGGCUUCCUGGCCAUAUCCUGACGCUGAGGUGCGAAAGCUAGGGUAGCGAACGGGCUUAGAUACCCUAGUAGUC
This 443-nucleotide ribosomal RNA is filed under the name uncultured Armatimonadota bacterium. Its description in RNAcentral is "bacterial SSU rRNA". It matches the Rfam family "Bacterial small subunit ribosomal RNA", at positions 338 to 795 of the family's 1533-position model. The record is from RNAcentral. Lineage: Bacteria; Bacillati; Armatimonadota.